ACGGGAGGCAGCAGUGGGGGAUAUUGGACAAUGGAGGAAACUCUGAUCCAGCGACGCCGCGUGAGUGAAGAAGUAUUUCGGUAUGUAAAGCUCUAUCAGCAGGGAAGAAAGAGCGCAAGCAUUGACUGUACCUGACUAAGAAGCCCCGGCUAACUACGUGCCAGCAGCCGCGGUAAUACGGAGGAUGCGAGCGUUAUCCGGAUUUAUUGGGUUUAAAGGGUGCGCAGGCGGCACGUUAAGUCAGCGGUGAAAUGCAGGGGCUCAACCCCGGCACUGCCGUUGAAACUGGCGAGCUCGAGUACGGAUGAAGUCGGCGGAAUGUGAUGUGUAGCGGUGAAAUGCUUAGAUAUGUCACAGAACACCGAUUGCGAAGGCAGCUGACUAAUCCGCAACUGACGCUCAGGCACGAAAGCGUGGGGAUCGAACAGGAUUAGAUACCCUGGUA
This 445-nucleotide ribosomal RNA is filed under the name uncultured Catonella sp. Its description in RNAcentral is "partial 16S ribosomal RNA". It matches the Rfam family "Bacterial small subunit ribosomal RNA", at positions 341 to 792 of the family's 1533-position model. The record is from RNAcentral. Lineage: Bacteria; Bacillati; Bacillota; Clostridia; Lachnospirales; Lachnospiraceae.